GUAUCUUACGUAAUCCCUUAGAGUAAACAAUCCCUCGACUUCUGAAGAUUAGGUACUCGUGUCCACAGAUUUCUCCUACCUAUUUCACUUUGCAUAUUUCCACCAAAAAUGACGUCCUUUACGUACCAUGCUAUAAUAAUUCAUUCGGCUGGCUAAAACUGAUCGGAGCGCACAUCACCGAUAACAGCCAUAAAAAUUGAAAAUUGUUUCUUUGUUUUUUGUGCAAAAUUAGGCGUUAUGUAAGUAGCCGGGACAAUGGGGUAGGCUUAAACUUGCGGUGUCAUCAAACUCAUCUGCAUAAUUCCGAAGACAAUACAUAGGUAUUGUGCGUGAAUAGCCGAAGGAUUGCAGAAUAAAGAAGAAAAUGUCGAUUUACAACAAUUCGGUUAAGAGAUACUACGACUUCGUAUUUACGGAUCUCGCCGGUAAGAAAUUUUUAUACUAUCCCACAAUUUAGUUAAUAAAACGAUUUGUAAAAACAACGUAAUCUUAAAAUCGAUUCUAAAUACGCCAUUGCGUAACGAGGAACUAAUUUAUUUUUAUUAUUAUUGUCUCAAUUAGUAAGGGAAUAGUAAUUUCAUAAUAAAUUACAUUAAAACCUCUUUUUA
Long non-coding RNA from Photinus pyralis (common eastern firefly), 608 nucleotides. RefSeq lists it as uncharacterized. The transcript is spliced from 3 exons. NCBI's taxonomy places the organism in Eukaryota, Metazoa, Arthropoda, Insecta, Coleoptera, Lampyridae. The record is from RefSeq and is a predicted model, not a curated record.